RNAcentral lists this transfer RNA (59 nucleotides) under Pyramimonas parkeae. Lineage: Eukaryota; Viridiplantae; Chlorophyta; Pyramimonadophyceae; Pyramimonadales; Pyramimonadaceae. The record is from RNAcentral.
AUGCACGAUUGUGAAGUCAUGCUGAAGGAUAUGGGUGAUUCUAAACGCACCAACAGCAA